Pelobates cultripes (western spadefoot toad) is the source of this 218-nucleotide non-coding RNA. The record is from the annotation of a GenBank genome assembly. Lineage: Eukaryota; Metazoa; Chordata; Amphibia; Anura; Pelobatidae.
CAGACAGUCACACACUCAGUCAGACACUCACAGGCAGUCACACACAGACACUCACACACACUCACACAGACAGUCACACAUUCACACAGGCAGUCACACAGACAGUCACUCACAGGCAGUCACACAGAGACACUCACACAGAGACAGUCACACACUCACACACAGUAACACAGAGACAGUCACACACUCACAGGCAGUCCCACACUCACACAGAGACA